GGUGGCAAGCGUUAUCCGGAUUUAUUGGGUUUAAAGGGUGCGUAGGCGGAUUGAUAAGUUAGAGGUGAAAUGUCCGAGCUCAACUCGGGAACUGCCUCUAAUACUGUUGAUCUAGAGAGUAGAUGCGGUAGGCGGAAUGUAUGGUGUAGCGGUGAAAUGCUUAGAGAUCAUACAGAACACCGAUUGCGAAGGCAGCUUACCAAUCUAUAUCUGACGUUGAGGCACGAAAGCGUGGGUAGCAAAC
This 244-nucleotide ribosomal RNA is filed under the name uncultured bacterium. RNAcentral's name for it is "partial 16S ribosomal RNA". It matches the Rfam family "Bacterial small subunit ribosomal RNA", at positions 530 to 773 of the family's 1533-position model. The record is from RNAcentral.